CCUACGGGAGGCAGCAGUGGGGGAUAUUGCACAAUGGGGGGAACCCUGAUGCAGCGACGCCGCGUGGGUGAAGGAGCGUUUCGGCGCGUAAAGCCCUAUCGGCAGGGAAGAAGAUGACGGUACCUGACCAAGAAGCCCCGGCUAACUACGUGCCAGCAGCCGCGGUAAUACGUAGGGGGGAAGCGUUAUCCGGAUUUACGGGGUGUAAAGGGGGCGCAGUCGGCAAUGCAAGCCAGGAGUGAAAGCUCGGGGCCCAACCCCGGGACUGCUGGUGAAACUGCAGGGCUGGAGUACGGGAGGGGCAGGCGGAAUGCGUGGUGUAGCGGUGAAAUGCGUAGAUAUUAGGAAGAACCCCGGUGGCGAAGGCGGCAUGCUGGACUGCAACUGACGUUGAGGCCCGAAGGCGUGGGGAGCGAACAGGAUUAGAUACCCCAGUAGUC
Molecule: ribosomal RNA, 440 nt
Filed under: uncultured bacterium
Lineage: Bacteria
Description: partial 16S ribosomal RNA
Rfam family: Bacterial small subunit ribosomal RNA
Source: RNAcentral